CUCGUAGGCGGUCUGUCGCGUCGGAAGUGAAAACCCGGAGCUCAACUCCGGGCCUGCUUUCGAUACGGGCAGACUUGAGUACUGCAGGGGAGACUGGAAUUCCUGGUGUAGCGGUGGAAUGCGCAGAUAUCAGGAGGAACACCGGUGGCGAAGGCGGGUCUCUGGGCAGAAACUGACGCUGAGGAGCGAAAGCGUGGGGAGCGAACA
RNAcentral lists this ribosomal RNA (207 nucleotides) under uncultured bacterium. Its description in RNAcentral is "partial 16S ribosomal RNA". It matches the Rfam family "Bacterial small subunit ribosomal RNA", at positions 568 to 774 of the family's 1533-position model. The record is from RNAcentral.